Molecule: ribosomal RNA, 253 nt
Filed under: uncultured bacterium
Lineage: Bacteria
Description: partial 16S ribosomal RNA
Rfam family: Bacterial small subunit ribosomal RNA
Source: RNAcentral
UACGUAGGGGGCAAGCGUUGUCCGGAAUCAUUGGGCGUAAAGAGCGUGUAGGCGGCUCGGUAAGUCCGCUCUGAAAGCCCGGGGCUCAACCCCGGGAGGCGGGCGGAUACUGUCGGGCUAGAGUCCGGAAGAGGCGAGUGGAAUUCCUGGUGUAGCGGUGAAAUGCGCAGAUAUCAGGAGGAACACCAAUGGCGAAGGCAGCUCGCUGGGGCGGUACUGACGCUGAGACGCGAAAGCGUGGGGAGCAAACAGG